CACACACACACUUCCUGACUCUAAAGAAAAGGAAGCAGAGUUUUUCGUCACGGUGAAAUCCUACCAAAAGACAAGAAUUUGGACCAUCUUUAACCCCCCUGAUGUGGGCAUGAAUGAGGACAAACAUGAUACUGAACACAUGCAAUGUCUGCAUGUUUAACUCAGAUUUUGGGAA
Molecule: long non-coding RNA, 175 nt
Organism: Sander lucioperca (pikeperch)
Lineage: Eukaryota; Metazoa; Chordata; Actinopteri; Perciformes; Percidae
Exons: 2
Source: RefSeq, a predicted model, not a curated record